UACGUAGGGGGCGAGCGUUGUCCGGAUUCAUUGGGCGUAAAGCGCUUUAAGGCGGUUCGCUAAGUCGGGUGUGAAACCUCCAGGCUCAACCUGGAGACGCCACUCGAUACUGGCGUGACUAGAGUCCGGUAGGGGACCACGGAAUUCCUAGUGUAGCGGUGAAAUGCGCAGAUAUCAGGAGGAACACCAGUGGCGAAGGCGGUGGUCUGGGCCGGAACUGACGCUGUAGAGCGAAAGCGUGGGGAGCGAACAGG
This 254-nucleotide ribosomal RNA is filed under the name uncultured bacterium. RNAcentral's name for it is "partial 16S ribosomal RNA". It matches the Rfam family "Bacterial small subunit ribosomal RNA", at positions 524 to 776 of the family's 1533-position model. The record is from RNAcentral.